UAGGGAAUCUUCCGCAAUGGGCGAAAGCCUGACGGAGCAACGCCGCGUGAGUGAUGAAGGUCUUCGGAUCGUAAAACUCUGUUAUUAGGGAAGAACAAAUGUGUAAGUAACUAUGCACGUCUUGACGGUACCUAAUCAGAAAGCCACGGCUAACUACGUGCCAGCAGCCGCGGUAAUACGUAGGUGGCAAGCGUUAUCCGGAAUUAUUGGGCGUAAAGCGCGCGUAGGCGGUUUUUUAAGUCUGAUGUGAAAGCCCACGGCUCAACCGUGGAGGGUCAUUGGAAACUGGAAAACUUGAGUGCAGAAGAGGAAAGUGGAAUUCCAUGUGUAGCAGUGAAAUGCGCAGAGAUAUGGAGGAACACCAGUGGCGAAGGCGACUUUCUGGUCUGUGACUGACGCUGAUGUGCGAAAGCGUGGGGAUCAAACAGG
Molecule: ribosomal RNA, 429 nt
Filed under: Actinomycetes bacterium
Lineage: Bacteria; Bacillati; Actinomycetota; Actinomycetes
Description: Actinobacteria bacterium partial 16S ribosomal RNA
Rfam family: Bacterial small subunit ribosomal RNA
Source: RNAcentral